CUGCUAGAGAGCAGGGCAAGGCCAAAGGGUCAGAGGCUCGAGGAAUGCGGGGUGGUGUCGGGGGGUAAAAGGACAUACCUGAGAAGGCCCCAGACCCUCGCUCCACCAGGAGGUAAGGAAACUGAAGCCUCAGGCGAAGAGAUGAUUUCAAAGAACUUCAGAGCUAAGAGUCUUCUUCGACUAAAGUAGGCCCCCAUGUUUCCUGGGAGAGGUGGAGCUUGAGGCUUGAGUGGGCUUAAAAAACAAUGAGGAUUCUGACAAACACAAAAGAGGGAGAGAAAGAGAGAACUUGAAGGGCCAGUUCCAGAGACCCUGUGACCUCAGGCUCCAGAGAUGGCUCCGUAAGGCAAACUCACCAUGACCACUGGUCAAUGACUCACUUCUCCUCCCAGGCGCCCUCCCAGGGAUGAGCGCUCCUUCACUCUGCCUCCCUCAGCCCUUGCUCCGGUCUCUCUGCAGCUGGGGUCAGUGUUCCCAGUGAAGUCAGCGUGUGGAGCACACAUGCCUCGUACCCACAUUCAUGCCCAUGUGUGCGUGUGCACACGCAUGUGGGGCCUGUGUGUCUCUUUCUCUGAGACCCACUCAAGAUCUGCAUGCACCUCGGGCCCCCUCCCAGAGUGCUGCAGCCAGAUGCACCUGGAGCCCCACCCGUCAGCCCAGGGAGACAUGCCCCUGCUGAAUUCAGAGAAUGAUCCAGAAGGAUUCAGGAAAUGAGGACCAUUCAUGAACCCAGCGACUGAUGAAGAGCACCUUCCUCACAUCCGCUGCCAAACUCACCCGAAAAGAAGAGACAGAGGAAGACCCCAGAGGAUUGCAAUUUGAGGACACCUCCAACUCAUGCUCACUGCACUUGGUCCAAAAUGAUCAGAGGGGAGAUUUGGCUCAUGCUCUGGCCUCACUGGCUCCCAUCACCAUUGCCUCUGCCCCUCCAGCCUCUGCCAGGCGCCUGGCUCUGACCCUUGCUGACACUUCAGGCCCCUCACCCUUAGAACUGACUGCCAAAGGGCUAGUUGCUUAGUCUUCAAGUAAAGGGGGUCUGGAGGACUAUGGAGGAGGCAUAGUGCCUAGAGAGCCCCUCGCCUCAAGACACCCCCACUGCACUUGGGAGGAAAGGCAGGGCUGGGGGAUGGAGGCACUGUGGGGGCCUUUCCUAUUUGGCAGCAGCUGCAGCCAUGCGCACCAUAGCCACAGCACGCAGCACACAUCUUCUGUCUCACAGUGAUUGAAGAUUUUGCCAAACCACCGGUCAGACAGAUUUCCCCCCAAGCCCCACAUUAAUUGAUUUUUGGAUUCUGCAACCCAAGCUCAAGCUCAAGCUCCGAGCUCACUGCUGAGCUCAGACUCCUGGGUGUCCCACAACGGCUUCGAUGUGGAGGCCAUGACGCUGAAGCCAAAGUUGUCAGACACCUGGGCUGCACUUGCCUGUGCAACGAGCCUGGGAAAGCAGCUCUGGGGAUUGCACCCACAGUGCCAGGGCUCGGGAGCCUCUGAGCUCAGGGAGGCCUUCAGGGACAGGCGCUCGGCCAGCUGCCUGGGUAGGCUACUAAUGAGCAGAUGUGUUCCAGGCUGUCUGCCCAAGGGGCAGCUGCACCUGGGCUGGAGAGCUGAGACUCUCUGGGGUUCUGCAGCCUCUGUCCUCCUCAGCCUGGCCCGACAGCCCCUCGUUCUGAUACAGGAGGGCACAGCUGCCUGACGCCCCUCCUUCCCCAUCUCUGCCUCUCUAAUCUUCCUUGAGGAAGAUUCCAUCAGAGGUUUUACUUACAUAUUCCUACACCAUGCCUGGAACAUAGUAGGUACUCAAUAAAUCCAACUUUUCCUGAGUUAGUGGUGAGGAAAAGCUGGACUCAGGAUCAGGCUGCCUGUGAAGCCUGGCCUGUAGCCUGCCAGCUCUCCCAGCCUCAGGGUCCUCACACCCACACGUGUGUGCAGUAACAGAGCACUUCUUGCCUGCAACAGUGCCUGGUUCCCAGUGUAUGCCACUGGGAUCCGUAUUAUUAUUAAGUGAUCCGUAUUAUUAUUUUAUCUUAAGAGAGGAAUCCAGCUGUGUCCAAAUGAGGGGUUGGGACAAAAUAAAAGCUAGAAUCCAGUCUUGCAGGUGGGGACAUGGCACCUGGGUCUCCACACUGACCCGUGCUGCCCACCCUCUCACAUGCUAUCUAGAGACGGCACUCCUUGUGGAAUGCUGCAGGAGGUGCUCCACUGGCACGAAGUGGGUGGGCUCUUAGCACAGACCCAAACAGUAAGUGACUUUUCACACUCCCAUCGCAUCUCCAAAGCUACAUGCAAAACACUGAUCUUCACAGGGGUUAGAACACAACUUCCAGAAGGCCUCUUUCUUUUUUUUUUUUUUCUCCCUUUUUUUUUUUUAUUAUUAUACUUUAAGUUCUGAGAUACAUGUGCAGAACAUGCAGGUUUGUUACAUAGGUAUACAAGAGCCAUGGUGGUUUGCUGCACCCAUCAACCCGUCAUCUACAUUACGUAUUUCUCCUAAUGCUAUCCCUCCCCUAACCCCCAACCCCCUGGCAGGCCCCAGUGUGUGAUGUUCCCCUCCCUGUGUUCAUGUGCUCUCACUGUUCAACUCCCACUUAUGAGGGAGAACAAGCAGUGUUUGGUUUUCUGUUCCUGUGUUAGUUUGCUGAGAAUGAUGGUUUCCAGCUUCAUCCAUGUCCCUGCAAAGGACAUGAAGUCAUCCUUUUUGAUGGCUGUAUAGUAUUCCAUGGUGUAUAUGUGCCAUGUUUUCUUUAUCCAGUCUAUCAUUGAUGGGCAUUUGGGUUGGUUCCAAGUCUUUGUUAUUGUGAACAGUGCUGCAAUAAACAUACGUGUGCAUGCGUCUUUAUAGUAGAAUAAUUGAUAAUCCUUUUGUUAUAUACCCAGUAAUGGCAUUGUUGGGUCAAAUGGUAUUUCUUGUUCUAGAUCCUUGAGGAAUCGCCACACUGUCUUUCACAAUGGUUGAACUGGUUUACACUCCCACCAACAGUGUAAAAGCAUGCCUAUUUUUCCACAUCCUCUCCAGCAUCUGUUGUUGCCUGACUUUUUAAUGAUCACCAUUCUAACUAGCAUGAGAUGGUAUCUCAUUAUGGUUUUGAUUUGCAUUUCUCUAAUGACCAUUUCUCUAAUGAUGAGCUUUUUUUCAUAUGUUUGUUGGCUGCAAAAAUGUCUUCUUUUGAGAAGUGUCCAUUCAUAUCUUUUGCCCAUUUUUUGAGUGGGGUUGCUUUUUUCUUAUAAACUUGUUAAAGUUCCUUAUAGAUUCUGGAUAUUAGCCCUUUGUCAGAUGGAUAGAUUGCAAAAAUUUUCUCCCAUUCUGUAGGUUGUCUGUUCACUCUGAUGAUAGUUUCUUUUGCUGUGCAGAAGCUCUUUAGUUUAAUUAGAU
This 3370-nucleotide long non-coding RNA is filed under the name Homo sapiens (human). RNAcentral describes it as "HSALNT0038814". Lineage: Eukaryota; Metazoa; Chordata; Mammalia; Primates; Hominidae. The record is from RNAcentral.